AUUAAACUGAAGAGUUUGAUCCUGGCUCAGAUUGAACGCUGGUGGCAUGCUUAACACAUGCAAGUCGAACGGUAACAGGUCUUAGGAUGCUGACGAGUGGCGGACGGGUGAGUAACGCGUAGGAAUCUGCCCAUUUGAGGGGGAUACCAGUUGGAAACGACUGUUAAUACCGCAUAAUAUCUGUGGAUUAAAGGUGGCUUUCGGGCUGUCGCAGAUGGAUGAGCCUGCGUUGGAUUAGCUAGUUGGUGGGGUAAGGGCCCACCAAGGCUACGAUCCAUAGCUGAUUUGAGAGGAUGAUCAGCCACAUUGGGACUGAGACACGGCCCAAACUCCUACGGGAGGCAGCAGUGGGGAAUAUUGG
Molecule: ribosomal RNA, 361 nt
Filed under: Francisella tularensis subsp. holarctica
Lineage: Bacteria; Pseudomonadati; Pseudomonadota; Gammaproteobacteria; Thiotrichales; Francisellaceae
Description: bacterial SSU rRNA
Rfam family: Bacterial small subunit ribosomal RNA
Source: RNAcentral